Molecule: non-coding RNA, 95 nt
Filed under: Carlito syrichta (Philippine tarsier)
Lineage: Eukaryota; Metazoa; Chordata; Mammalia; Primates; Tarsiidae
Source: RNAcentral
ACCUGACCUGACGUUAGUGGGUUAUCAGAAUUUAUUAACAUUAGUGUCACUAAAGUUAGUAUACACCCCACAUUGGUACAUUUGACUGGCUUAAA